CAAAAAAGGCACCGGUAUUAUGUAGUGAAGCUCGCACGUCUCUGAACAGUGUAGCAUUUUGGCCACAAGAGCGCGCGCCUGAGCCACAUUAGAGGCGGUGAAGAUGCCAACAAUCUCAUCUCGAGUCCGGAAUAUUUUGGGCAAAAGAAAGCAUUUCAUUCCAAACACAAUCAAGACACACCGGAGGGAGUCUGCGGCUUAGUUUCACAAACAUCUUUCUGUCUUGCACGAUGAUCCCCGGUAAUCCAGAUGUUGGACAUACAGUGGCUUUUUAUUUAAUUUUUCUCUCGUUCCCUGUUCUGAAUGCUUUCCUUCAGUGAAACGUGUUCCAGCUCCUCUGGGUGUCCAGGGCCAUAUGGGCUGGUAACCGCUUAAUACUGAGCUCUCUGUGGGAUUCUGUUUGUGUUUUCUGUCUAGCCAAAUUUGUUUGCAU
Molecule: long non-coding RNA, 433 nt
Organism: Esox lucius (northern pike)
Lineage: Eukaryota; Metazoa; Chordata; Actinopteri; Esociformes; Esocidae
Source: Ensembl